Molecule: small nucleolar RNA, 105 nt
Organism: Pongo abelii (Sumatran orangutan)
Lineage: Eukaryota; Metazoa; Chordata; Mammalia; Primates; Hominidae
Source: Ensembl
AUUCAUCUGUAGUUCAUGAGUGUGAUGAUUGGGUGUUCACGCGCAUGCGUGAGAUGUGCCACCCUCAAAUCUUGUUACAAUGGUCGGCACAUUACCCAUCUGAUG